CCAGGCCUGGGCAUCUCCUCUCCUGCAGCGCCGCCUGCUGGCCACAGAGAACCCGCGUGCGCCGGCCGCCAGGCCUGGGCAUCUCCUCUCCUGCAGCGCCGCCUGCUGGCCACAGAGAACCCGCGUGCGCCGGCCGCCUGGCCUGGGCAUCUCCUCUCCUGCAGCGCCGCCUGCUGGCCACAGAGAACCCGCGUGCGCCGGCCGCCAGGCCUGGGCAUCUCCUCUCCUGCAGCGCCGCCUGCUGGCCACAGAGAACCCGCGUGUGCCGGCCGCCAGGCCUGGGCAUCUCCCCGGGCCCUAGUUCCCCCCCUCACCUAAGGGGAGGGACUCCCGUCUUUCCAUCCACCCCCUCCUUGCCUCUGCAGAGCUCCAGGGAAGGCUGGCACCCGCUCACUGCAUUUAGACUCCAUCAGCUCUGCUGCCCCCUGCCCCAUACACGUGAUGGAGCAGAAAACGUGCUGUGUGAACCUGUGACUUCAGGGCCUGUUGACGUGGUCGUGCUUGCAUACUCUCUGGACUGGACCUCACUGUGGGAACAACAAGAUCAACAAGAGGAGCAAGAACAACAUCAAGAGUCAGGGCCCGGGGGUCCUGACGGGUACAGGAUGGGUACAGACCCACACAGGAAUCCCAGAGUGUGUUCCACAGCAGGACACGCCUGCGCUGAAAGAGUGGGCAGAAAGGAGCUGACCUGGACCAAACCAAUGCACAACUCCUACGUACUGAUGGUGGUCUUACGUUUCCCUAAGUUUCUGCCGACUAAACUGUGCACACGUUCUCAGGACCUCCUGAAGCUGCGUCACAGGCGCUGAUCAAAGAACACAACCAAGAGUUUGGCCUUUUCUUCAGCACUGGGAAUUGUGAUCCAAAGCUUUUCCUGAUGAGGCACAAAGUUGGAGAAACAAAACGCAAACUAAGCAACAAUGAAACAGAACAGAGUGAAUCUGCUGUAGCUCAAGAGAGGACGUAGCUGCCCCCACCCCGCAUCCCCGGGCUCGGGUUUGCCUUGCUGACCUCUGCUGCCACCUGGUGCCGCACAGAGAAACUGAGGAGAAACCACAUCAGUCUCCUUCAGCCUCAGCUUCACAUCUGUGGGUCAAGCAACCCUUUCAGAAGCUGAAUAAUGUGGGAAAGCUUUCCUCUCAGGAAAAUGCACACAUCCAACUUUGAGAAGAUGCCCUUGGGGGCGCUUCAAGGAUC
RNAcentral lists this long non-coding RNA (1200 nucleotides) under Homo sapiens (human). Its description in RNAcentral is "HSALNT0000055". The record is from RNAcentral. Lineage: Eukaryota; Metazoa; Chordata; Mammalia; Primates; Hominidae.